This 810-nucleotide ribosomal RNA is filed under the name uncultured bacterium. Its description in RNAcentral is "bacterial SSU rRNA". It matches the Rfam family "Bacterial small subunit ribosomal RNA", at positions 8 to 796 of the family's 1533-position model. The record is from RNAcentral.
AGAGUUUGAUCCUGGCUCAGAACGAACGCUGGCGGCGUGGAUAAGACAUGCAAGUCGAACGGGAUUUUCUUUGGUAGCAAUACCGAAGAAAGUCUAGUGGCGAACGGGUGCGUAACACGUGGGCAAUCUGCCUUAAAGUGGGGGAUAGCUCGGCGAAAGCCGAAUUAAUACCGCAUGUGAUCAGGGGAGACAUCUUCCCGAAAUCAAAAGUGGCGCAAGCUACUGCUUUUUGAGGAGCCCGCGGCCUAUCAGCUAGUUGGUGAGGUAAUGGCUCACCAAGGCUAUGACGGGUAGCUGGUCUGAGAAGACGACCAGUCACACUGGAACUGAGACACGGUCCAGACACCUACGGGUGGCAGCAGUCGAGAAUUUUUCUCAAUGGGGGAAACCCUGAAGGAGCGACGCCGCGUGGAGGAUGAAGGUCUUCGGGUUGUAAACUCCUGUCAUUUGGGAACAAGUGCCGGUACGUAACUGCUACCGGCUUGAUAGUACCAGAAGAGGAAGAGACGGCUAACUCUGUGCCAGCAGCCGCGGUAAUACAGAGGUCUCAAGCGUUGUUCGGAUUCAUUGGGCGUAAAGGGUGUGUAGGUGGCGCCGUAAGUCGGGUGUGAAAUUUCGGAGCUUAACUCCGAAACUGCAUUCGAUACUGCGGUGCUUGAGGACUGGAGAGGAGACUGGAAUUCGUGGUGUAGCAGUGAAAUGCGUAGAGAUCAUGAGGAAGACCAGUGGCGAAGGCGGGUCUCUGGACAGUUCCUGACACUGAGACACGAAGGCCAGGGGAGCAAACGGGAUUAGAUACCCCGGUAGUCC